AUUGAACGCUGGCGGCAGGCUUAACACAUGCAAGUCGAACGAGUGGCGGACGGGUGAGUAAUGGUUGGGAAACUGGCUUAUUGAGGUGGAUAACUACGGGAAACUGUAGCUAAUCCCGCUUACCAUAGGUUGCGCCCACGUGGGAUUAGGUAGUUGGUGAGGUAAAGGCUCACCAAGCCGACGAUCUCCAGCUGGUCUGAGAGGAUGACCGGCCACACUGGGACUGAGACACGGCCCAGACUCCUACGGGAGGCAGCAGUGGGGAAUAUUGCGCAAUGGGGGCAACCUGACGCAGCCAUGCCGCGUGAAUGAAGAAGGCCUUCGGGUUGUAAAGUUCUUUCGGUAGCGAGGCGUUAACUACAGAAGAAGCACCGGCUAACUCCGUGCCAGCAGCCGCGGUAAUAC
Molecule: ribosomal RNA, 405 nt
Filed under: uncultured bacterium
Lineage: Bacteria
Description: partial 16S ribosomal RNA
Rfam family: Bacterial small subunit ribosomal RNA
Source: RNAcentral